GACGAACGCUGGCGGCGUGCCUAAUACAUGCAAGUGGAACGCAUGAUUGAUACCGGAGCUUGCUCCACCAUGAAUCAUGAGUCGCGAACGGGUGAGUAACGCGUAGGUAACCUACCUCAUAGCGGGGGAUAACUAUUGAAAACGAUAGCUAAUACCACAUAACAGUAUUUAUCACAUGGUAAAUGCUUGAAAGGAGCAAUUGCUUCACUAUGAGAUGGACCUGCGUUGUAUUAGCUAGUUGGGGGGGUAACGGCUCACCAAGGCAUCGAUACAUAGCCAACCUGAGAGGGUGAUCGGCCACACUGGGACUGAGACACGGCCCAAACUCCUACGGGAGGCAGCAGUAAGGAAUAUUGGUCAAUGGACAAAAGUCUGAACCAGCCAUGCCGCGUGAAGGAUGAAGGUCCUCUGGAUUGUAAACUUCUUUUAUAGGGAACAAAAAAAGGGAAUUCUUUCUCACUUGACGGUACCCUAGGAAUAAGCACCGGCUAACUCCGUG
This 499-nucleotide ribosomal RNA is filed under the name uncultured bacterium. RNAcentral's name for it is "bacterial SSU rRNA". It matches the Rfam family "Bacterial small subunit ribosomal RNA", at positions 28 to 507 of the family's 1533-position model. The record is from RNAcentral.